ACACACAAUCAUGAGAAAGCAACUUUUAAGACUCUUGACACUCAAUCAAACCUACGCAAACCAGCCCGUAUUAUUGAAAGUGUGGAAGAGAGAGAAGCGUUCCCGCCCAUCUUUUUCUCUCUCCGACAACAAGGAAGCAAGCUCGAAUGCCAAGGCAGAGAUCCGCCGCUGGAAUCUCCUUCCGAACUCGAGAGAAAGUAAGUAUAUCUUAGCCAUUAACGCCGUGUGAAGCGAGAUUCCAGUGGAAUGGCUUGUUGUUAGAAAGAGAAAGAGAAGUAAUUCGACCAAACGGGUAUGUUGAGGUUAAGAGAUUAGAUGAUGGGAGUGAAUAAGAGGGAUUGGAGAAUUGAGCAUAUAGUUUUUGAGAUAGAAGAAUGUGGGAAUGAGGAGUGGGUGCGAUUGGAGAAUCGAGCAUAGGUUUUUUGAGAGAGAAGAAUGUGGGAAUGAGG
This 449-nucleotide long non-coding RNA is filed under the name Panax ginseng (ginseng). Its description in RNAcentral is "long non-coding RNA (PGIN_LNC015006)". Lineage: Eukaryota; Viridiplantae; Streptophyta; Magnoliopsida; Apiales; Araliaceae. The record is from RNAcentral.